AACAGAAUAAGUGGCUUAUCGUCAGUGA
This 28-nucleotide non-coding RNA is filed under the name Bombyx mori (domestic silkworm). The record is from RNAcentral. Lineage: Eukaryota; Metazoa; Arthropoda; Insecta; Lepidoptera; Bombycidae.